This 8318-nucleotide long non-coding RNA is filed under the name Lactuca sativa (garden lettuce). Its description in RNAcentral is "long non-coding RNA (LSAT_LNC006650)". Lineage: Eukaryota; Viridiplantae; Streptophyta; Magnoliopsida; Asterales; Asteraceae. The record is from RNAcentral.
AAGAGGAGGCUUGAGAGAAUAAGUUACUUAGCACAAAAUUAAUAUCAAACUCUUAGAAUGAUGGUGUAACUGAUUUUGGUCAUGAGAGGUUCCUUUUAUAGUGCUAGGGUUACAUCUUUGCAAACCCUAAUGACCUUUCAUAUUACUUAGGCUCCAUGGGUUAAAAUUGUUGGAUAUAGUGUCUAAGCCCAUAACUAUAUUUGGUAUGUACUUGACCCGACCCGGCAUGGUCCAUUUGGGUUGCACUUCACCCGAACAAUUUAUGGAUAAUAUUUGAGAAUAGUACAAGUUAUGAUUUAUUAAUAUAUUAUAAGUUCUAAUAUAUUAAUAUAAGAUCAUAUUAUUUAAUUAGUAGUGAUCUAUAAUUAAUCUAGGAUUAAUUUAGUGAUCAAAGAUAUUACUAAUUAAAUAUGGGCUUCUAUAUUUAUAUAGUGUGGGCUAAUGCUUAUUUAGAAUGGGCUAGGCUUGGAUGGAAAAGUCCAUGGAUACUCCAUGGAGCUUUGACCCAUGGAUCUCAUGGAAAUGAAGAGACAUGGGUAUUAGGGUUUACAUGGAUGUAACCCUAAUCCACCACACUAUAUAAAGGAGGCUUUGGUUCUUGAAAUCAUACUAGUUGACACUUGUUGAGGUGAGGCCGAUUUCAAGAUAGUAGUAUUUAUUCUCUCAAAGUUCCAAGUUUGUGGUGAUUUGUGACUUUCAUUUGAGGCAUCCACAUUAUUGGUGCUAGGCUCUAAAACUCCAAGCAAUCAACUACAACUUCAAGGUAAGCAUUUCUACUAGCUUUAUUUGAUUCAUGUUCCCCAUGCCAUGCUAGUUAAGAUAUGAACCUUGGAAAAAUAAUUAUUUGCAUGUAUCUUAGACAAACAUAGAUCCAAGGUUUAUUAGGGUUGCAUGUACACUUAGGAAGUGUUAGAAUGCUCAAAACCCAUCAGUGGUAUCAGAGCCUAGGCUUGUUUGUUUGUUAUUUGUGCUUAAAAGUUGAAGAAAGUCGAAAAUUCUGCUGUCUGACUGAUGGACUCGGCGAGUCCAUGGGGAGGACUCGUCGAGUUCAUGUGUAUCUUCAACCUACUCGGCGAGUAGGUUUAUGCACUCGGCGAGUAGGGUCGACAGAGUGCAGAAUUUCGACUUGAGUUGCUGGAAAUGGAUUAGAAUCAUUACCCUAAAAUGUUUUGGUACUUGAAAACUUAUUUUAGAAGGUGUAAUGUCUUUUCUAACUCAUUUACAACAACUAGUUAUCAAAAUUACAAAGAUUAAAUGUGAUUUUGAUUCUUGAAAGUGUUCAUAUUCAUAUUCUUGUUCUUAUGAUGUUUAGAUGAUCAUAGGAAUUAUUUGUAACCUAUGUGGUAGAUUAAUUCAUGAUCAUAAUGUGUUUUAAUGGAGUCCAUAACUUGUCCUCAAGUUAUGGAAAACCAAAAGUCUCUUGGAUUAAAAACCAUUAAAAGAACACAAGAGUUAGGAAAAAUGAAAAGUCCUCAUUUUAUUACUCUAUUAAACUCAUAAGUUACAAGAAAUGAAAAGUUUUGAAAGUUUACAAAACUUGCCCUCAAGUUUUGGAACAAGUAAAGUUAAGUUAAAACUUUAGUUCCAACCCCUAGAAUUUUAAAAGUUAAAAUUCAACCCUUAUACUUAUAUUAUUAUGAUUUAAUAAUUAUAUAUAUAUGUAUAAGAACAAAGUCGUCUUACCGCUAGUACGCCUCAUUCACGAAGCCGGUCUAUAAGGUGGGUAUAAGGUUGUUGCCUAUAAAAUGGUGACUUAAUGGGUGUCCACUCUCACCCACCGCUUGCUUGAUCGGUGGAGGGUCGUUAGCCGAACGGGUAAGACAAGGACUUAUUAAUUCUCAUUCAAAGUAUGAUGAAUAUUAUAAAGUAACUAAAUGUUUUAUUAAAUUCCCAAUCUUAGUUACUUUAGGAAAAAUGUGAAUAAGGUGCUAUUCCAUGAAAUUACACUUUACACUUUGAUUAAGUCGUUGGUGGAGCGUGUGUGGUUAACCGGCACACUAACUUGGACUUAACAAGGUAGGUAAAGGGUGACUUAGGGUUUAUUAUAGUAUCGAUGGAGCGUGUGUGGUUAACCGGCACAUCGAUUGAGUGAUAAACUUUAAGGGUACCAAGUGAUUUGCAUGGUUACUUCACACCUCGUUUUGUGAUCCUCGGUAUCCCAGUCACAAAACUUGGAGGGCACACUCGAGAUUGAAACAUGCCUUUGAAAAGUUCAUUGAAUCUCAAAGAAUCUAGGAAUUUCUAAGAACCAUUCAAAAACCUAAUACUAAAAUAUUGCGGUUUUCGUGGUGGAAAUUGGUGAAUCGUCAUUCACCUACCUUUCAAAUAUGAUAUAGCUUAGAUUACGGCAUACCUCUUCUAAGUUAUAUUAUAUUGUGAUUGGAUCCUAGCCUUAAUAUUACAUUUGGGUGUUUUAUUAAGGACUCUCUUAUAUCUAAACUAAUCUUGUCCUCUUUCCUUCAGAUGUCUUUCAACAAUGCUUCUGGCUCUAAUCCUAAUGGCUCCUUUACCCUUAUGAACUUGUGUGGGAAAGUCACCUUUGAUGGAUCCAACUUCAAUGAGUGGAUCAGAAACAUCAGGAUGAUUACCCGCUACGAGGACAAAGAAUAUGUCCUUGACAAGGAGCUUAAGGAGAUUGAUGAGUCCACUGCAACUCCUCAGGAGAUCGCUGAAUUUCGGGCACAUGAAAGGGAUGCUACGAAAGUGGCUUGCAUCAUGAUGGCCACGAUGACAGCGGAACUCCAAAAGUCUUAUGAGGAUUUCUACCCUUAUGACAUGCACCAAGAUUUGAUGGAAAGAUACCAUCAAAGUGCAAGACAAGAGAGGUAUGAAAUCAUCUGCUCCAUGAUAACAACCAUGAUGAAGGACGGGGAAUCCGUCACGAGCCACAUGCAGAAAAUGCAAAGGUAUGUGGAUCGUUUGCUGAAGCUUAAUGUGAACUUCCCGGAGGAUCUUGCAAUAGAUAUUAUUUUGCAUUCCUUACCAUCGUGCUAUGAUCAAUUCCGCAUGACAUAUCACAUGAACAAGGAAGAAGUCACCCUCAGCAAACUUCAGGGACUUCUCAAGACCGCAGAAACAGGUCUUAAGGGGAAGUCGGUUGCUAUCACUCCUACUCAAAACUCUACUCCGGUUUUGGCAAUCGGGAAAAGUCGAGGGAGGAAGAGAAAGAGCUCUUCUAAGGGUACCAAGGCUCGGACCCUUGAUGGCUCUUCUUCAAGUGGAACCAAGAAAGGUUUCAUUACUCCUUCUUCUGACCCAAAAGAGGCUGAAUGCUUCUAUUGCCAUGAAAAAGCUCAUUGGAAGCGGAACUGCCCAAAAUACCAGCAAGAUGUGAAGGAUGGGAAAGUUAAACCCAACCAUGCAGGUAUUUACACUAUCAUUUCUAAUAACUCACCCCAUUCUAAUUCUUGGGUCCUUGAUACCGGGUGUGGUAUUCACAUUUGUUGUGACUUGCAGGGACUAAGAAGAAGUGAGGAUGUGGAGCAAGGAAGGAUAAACUUGAUCAUGGGGAAUAGGAAAGCUAUACCUGUUACCAAGAUUGGAGUUUAUACUUUAUCGCUAAGUAGUGGGUUUAGUUUAGAUUUGAAUAAGUGUUGUUAUUCGCCAGGAAUGGCAAGAAAUAUUAUUUCCUUUCAUGCUUUGUACAAACAAGGGUUUACCUUUUCAUUUAAUAAUGAAGUUGGUUCUAUAGAUGUUUUCUAUAAUAAUGUCUUUUAUUUUAAAGCAUUACCUUGUGAUGGUGUGUAUGAAGCUGUAUCUGUUGUAGAUAACUUGGGAAAUAAUGUUUUGUGUAUUGAUUCUACUAAUAAUAACUUGGAUAAAGCAUCAUUAUGGCAUUGUCGUCUUGGACAUAUAAGCAAGAAACGCAUAGGCCAACUCCAAAAGGAUGGAGUCUUGGAGUCGUUUGACCUAAAGUCAGAUGAUAGUUGCGAAUCAUGCUUACUUGGAAAAAUGACAAAGUCACCCUUCACAGGUUCGUGUGAGAGGGGUGAAGGUUUGUUGGACCUUAUACACACGGAUGUGUGUGGACCAUUCAAACAUGCCACAAGGGAUGCUAAUCGUUAUUAUUUGACUUUUACUGAUGAUUAUAGUAGAUAUGGAUAUGUCUACUUAAUCAAGCAUAAGUCAGAGACUUUCGAGAGGUUUAAGGAAUUUAAACAGGAAGUCGAGAAUCAAUUGGGCAGGAACAUUAAGAUGCUUCGAUCCGAUCGAGGUGGUGAGUAUCUUAGUUCAGAGUUCCUCGACUAUCUUAGGGAAUGUGGGAUAGUCUCACAAUUGACACCUCCCAGGACACCACAGUUGAAUGGUGUGGCUGAGAGGCGUAAUCGAACCUUGUUGGAUAUGGUUCGUUCCAUGAUGAGUCGAGCUACGCUACCAAUCUCAUUCUGGGGGUAUGCCUUAGAGACUGCCGCCCAUAUUCUUAAUCUAGUCCCUACAAAGAAAGUUGCCAAAACUCCUCACGAGAUGUGGACUGGUAAAGUACCUAAACUAGACCACAUCAAGAUUUGGGGUUGCGAGGCUUUCGUGAGACGCGAGACUCAUGAUAAGCUCGAACCUCGAAGCGAGAGGUGUAUUUUCAUCGGUUACCCACAGCGAUCCUUUGGUUACCUCUUCUACAGACCUAGUGACAAUGUGGUCUUUGUAGCAAGAAGAGGAGUCUUUCGAGAGAGAGAAUUUAUAAGCCAAGGAGACAGUGGGAGGCAAAUUGAUCUUGAAGAAAUUCAAGAAUCAAGCGGUGAAGGAACUUCAAACACUAGCCCUCAACUUGAGGAGGAAACUCCUGUUGAGCCAGUUGAUGAGCCUGUACCUCUGAGGCGUUCCACGAGAGUUAGGAAUGCACCUGAGCAUUACUAUGGUUUCCAUAUUACUGCGGAAGGUGAGACACUUAUUAGUGAUGAGACACUAGUAGGUCUGGAUGAACCUAACAGCUACAUGGAAGCCAUGGCAGGCCCUGAGGCUGCUAAAUGGAAAGAGGCCAUGGAUAGCGAGAUACAAUCCAUGUAUGACAAUCAAGUUUGGAACUUGGUUGAGAAUGUACCAGGUCGUAAGACUGUAGGGUGCAAAUGGGUCUUCAAGAAGAAGACCGACAUGGAUGGUAAAGUACACACUUAUAAGGCGAGACUGGUUGCAAAGGGCUUCUCUCAAAUUCCUGGAGUGGACUAUGAUGAGACCUUUUCUCCAGUAGCCAAGAUUAAGUCUAUUCGGGUUCUGUUAGCCAUAGCUGCAUUUCAUGACUAUGAAAUAUGGCAAAUGGAUGUCAAAACCGCUUUCCUUAAUGGAAAGUUGGCUGAAGAUGUUUACAUGAGUCAGCCAGAGGGUUUUGUCAGCAACGAGUACCCUAAUAGAGUGUGUAAACUCGAGAAAUCCAUUUAUGGAUUGAAACAGGCACCUCGCAGGUGGAAUCUUUGCUUUGAUGAGAAAGUCAAGGAAUUUGGCUUUUCAAGGAGUGAAGAUGAAUCUUGCGUCUAUAUCAAGGCUAGUGGGAGCAUAGUCAGUUUUUUGGUACUGUAUGUGGAUGACAUACUACUCAUAGGAAAUGACAUCCCAACCCUGCAGGAAGUAAAGUCCUGGCUUGGGAAGUGUUUCGCUAUGAAGGACCUUGGUGAAGCUGCCUAUAUCCUAGGGAUAAAGAUUUUGAGAAACAGGAGUAAAAGACUAAUUGGACUUAGUCAAAGUACCUACUUGGACAAAGUGUUGAAAAGAUUCAACAUGCAUAACUCCAAGAAAGGUGAGUUACCCAUUCAGAGUAACGCCAGAUUGAGUAAGACACAAAGCCCUAGUACUGAGGCUGAGAUAGCAGAAAUGAGUCGACUUCCUUAUGCUUCAGCUGUAGGAUCGAUCAUGUAUGCUAUGACGUGUACUCGACCUGAUGUAGCCUUUGCUUUGAGCAUGGUUAGCAGGUAUCAGGCGAACCCUGGCAAGGAACACUGGACUGCGGUAAAGAAUAUCCUCAAGUACCUGCGAAGGACUAAGGACUGGGUCCUUACCUUCGGUGGGAGUGAUGACUUGAGAGUUGUAGGGUAUAGUGAUGCUAGCUUCCAGACUGAUAGGGAUAAUUUCCGCUCUCAGUCAGGCUGGGUCUUUACCCUAAACGGAGGAGCAAUUUCUUGGAAGAGUUCCAAGCAGGAGACAGUGGCUGAUUCCACUUGUGAAUCAGAGUAUAUAGCAGCAAGCGAGGCAGCAAAGGAGGCUAUAUGGCUAAAGAACUUCAUCGGAGACCUUGGAGUUGUACCAGCUAUAAAAGAGCCAAUGGAGAUUUUCUGUGACAGCAAUAGUGCGGUUGCCUUAGCCAAGGAACCAAGGGAUCACGGGAGAUCCAGACACAUCGACAGAAAAUACCAUUUUAUCAGACAUCGAAUUGAAGAAGGACUCCUCAUGGCGAAGAGGGUAUCAUCGGAUGAGAACCCGGCAGAUCCCCUCACGAAGGGACUGAGUAGGGUUAAGCAUCUCCAGCAUGCUCGGAGCAUAGGGCUGAAGGAUGAUAUAAGUUUUAGUAGUUAGAUAACCCAGAAAUUUGUAAAGUGUAAUUGACAUUUGAUGAUGAAUAAAAGGUGUUUUAUUUAUGAGUAAAGUGUUGCUAUCUCUUGUCGAUCUUUUACUAUAUUUCUUUUGCAUGUUUUGACUUCCAGAAUAAUUAUGUUUGGUAUAUCAUAUUAUUCAAACCUCCACAGUCGGUCAUAUGUCGGAAGUAGGUAUGAAUCAAGACUGUCAUGAUUGGUUGCAGAGGUCUAAGGUGUUGGACAAGGCUACAACAAUCAUGAGUGCUCAUAAGUUCUGAGCAUUGGACUCAACCCACGCUCACUGGAAUCACUUCAUGGAAUUUUAUCUCGAGUGAUCGUGAGACGGUAAUAUCAUAUAAGUCUUCAAACCUAGAGAUAUGAUUUGUUACUUACGAGUUGGUUAUGCAUUGAUUGUACGAAAACGCAUUGGUAACUCGAUGUUAUAAAACGUGCUUUUGUGUGUAAUUCAAUGAGUGGUAGAACAAACAUAUGAGUCGAAGUUUAUCUGUUCCUUCUUGGAUUAGAAGCUGAUAUCUGGGCCACUCGAUGAUUUUGUUUUGACCUAUGUACCGGGCCCGGUCAGAACUAAGUUGAUGUGUUCAAUUAAGUUCUUUGUCAAACAAAUCAGAAAUCGGGAAACAAACUGCUGGACAAUAAGUAAGACAAUGUUCCAUGUAUUUGUCCGGCUGAUAUCUAGAACAGAGGAUUAUAUGAUCACUUAUCUAAAUGGCGCGUUCUAGUUCAACAGAGUUUAAAGAGCUACGAUUGCUGAUCGGUUCCUGAAGUUAUACUUGCAAAUAUAGUUACUAGACUUAUCCAAGUGGGAGACUGUUGGAUAUAGUGUCUAAGCCCAUAACUAUAUUUGGUAUGUACUUGACCCGACCCGGCAUGGUCCAUUUGGGUUGCACUUCACCCGAACAAUUUAUGGAUAAUAUUUGAGAAUAGUACAAGUUAUGAUUUAUUAAUAUAUUAUAAGUUCUAAUAUAUUAAUAUAAGAUCAUAUUAUUUAAUUAGUAGUGAUCUAUAAUUAAUCUAGGAUUAAUUUAGUGAUCAAAGAUAUUACUAAUUAAAUAUGGGCUUCUAUAUUUAUAUUGUGUGGGCUAAUGCUUAUUUAGAAUGGGCUAGGCUUGGAUGGAAAAGUCCAUGGAUACUCCAUGGAGCUUUGACCCAUGGAUCUCAUGGAAAUGAAGAGACAUGGGUAUUAGGGUUUACAUGGAUGUAACCCUAAUCCACCACACUAUAUAAAGGAGGCUUUGGUUCUUGAAAUCAUACUAGUUGACACUUGUUGAGGUGAGGCCGAUUUCAAGAUAGUAGUAUUUAUUCUCUCAAAGUUCCAAGUUUGUGGUGAUUUGUGAUUUCCACUUGAGGCAUCCACACUAUUGGUGCUAGGCUCUAAAACUCCAAGCAAUCAACUACAACUUCAAGGUAAGCAUUUCUACUAGCUUUAUUUGAUUCAUGUUCCCCAUGCCAUGCUAGUUAGGAUAUGAACCUUGGAAAAAUAAUUAUUUGCAUGUAUCUUAGAAAAACAUAGAUCCAAGGUUUAUUAGGGUUGCAGUACACUUAGGAAGUGUUAGAAUGCUCAAAACCCAACAAAAAUCUCCAUGGACUAUCCCUGGACUAUCACAUUAGUUUAGCCCAUCCUAAAUAACCAUUGAUCAUUGGCCCACACUAAAAGAAUCAUCGAUUUACAUAAUCAAUCCCCAUAUAUUAAUUAGUCUUUUUUAUCACAAAAUUAAUUCCAAAUUAAUUCUUGAUCAAUACUAGUUAAAUAAUAUGAUUUCAUAUUAAUAUAUUAUACUUGUAAUAUACUAAUAAAUC